Molecule: ribosomal RNA, 500 nt
Filed under: uncultured Dehalococcoides sp.
Lineage: Bacteria; Bacillati; Chloroflexota; Dehalococcoidia; Dehalococcoidales; Dehalococcoidaceae
Description: bacterial SSU rRNA
Rfam family: Bacterial small subunit ribosomal RNA
Source: RNAcentral
AGAGUUUGAUCCUGGCUCAGGAUCAACGCUGGCGGCGUGCAUGAGACAUGCAAGUCGAACGGACGGUCGAGGCUUGCCUGGACCGUUAGUGGCGGACGGCUGAGUAACGCGUGGGUGACCUGCCCCGAAGUGGGGAAUAACUGCCCGAAAGGGUGGCUAAUACCGCAUGUGCCGGUACGUUCAUUCGUACCAGCAAAGCCGCAAGGCGCUUCGGGAGGGGCCUGCGUCCGAUUAGCUCGUUGGUGGGGUAACGGCUCACCAAGGCGACGAUCGGUAGGUGGUCUGAGAGGACGAUCACCCAGACUGGGACUGAGACACGGCCCAGACUCCUACGGGAGGCAGCAGUCGGGAAUUUUGCGCAAUGGACGAAAGUCUGACGCAGCAACGCCGCGUGAGGGAUGACGGCCUUCGGGUUGUAAACCUCUUUUCUCAGGGAAGAUAAUGACGGUACCUGAGGAAUAAGCCACGGCUAACUACGUGCCAGCAGCCGCGGUAAUUCA